Drosophila montana is the source of this 707-nucleotide long non-coding RNA. RefSeq lists it as uncharacterized. The transcript has 2 exons. The record is from RefSeq and is a predicted model, not a curated record. Lineage: Eukaryota; Metazoa; Arthropoda; Insecta; Diptera; Drosophilidae.
ACAAAGUUUGUCUUACACUUGUCUGUCAGGACACAAACAAAAAAAAAAAGAAGAAAUAUAGAAAAACUAAACUUUUUCAAUAAGCCACAAUUUUGGGCAAGUACUCGGCUAACUGGCAGCUCAUAAACAUACUGUCAUAUAGCAGUGCAUAGCUGAGACAGGCAAACAUCUAAGGUGUGUCAUCAAUCAAUGCUGAAAUAUAUAUAUGGCAACAUCGCAGCUGAGUGACAACUACUAAGCGGCCCCAUGUCAAAUUGUUUAUGGCAAAUAUGUCAAUGGCCCCGCUGCCAGUUUAUCAAUCAGUCAAUUGCGCUCGCUUUGCCCCCAUGUUGAUGUCGCUACAAGCGCUGCCAAUUGAUUUCAAUUCAAUUUUACAGAUUGCAAUCGAAGCUAUUAAAGUGUACGAGCGGGCCACGUUGGGUGCCAGGCUGGACCCAAGGACCGGGCCCUGACGAUGCGCUCCACACGUAACUGCAAUUUGGUCGAUGCGCCCCGGGGGCGCAGCAUUAAUGAGUGGCAGCAUGCAAAGCAAUACAAGACACUGCUGCGACUGGUGCUGGAGUUGGGGCUGCGGCUGGUGCAAGCUGCAGCUUGCCCCCAACUUGUUUUCAGCUGUCUCAUACGUAGCACGGAAGCUGCUGCCUCUAAUGACGGCUAUUACAUUUAUCGUCUCGGCCAUUACAAUAAAAUAAGCAAGUAUUUAGUAA